AGAUGAAAAAUUAGCAAGCACUUUGCAAUAGUUACAAUAAAAUAGAUACAUUGGUACUUUUAAAGGAAGUGAAUCAAAAACCCUUAAUGAGAAAGACAGAUACCAAAUUUGGAGCAUUCACCAAAGAUCACUGGAAUAGUAGCAAGAACUCCCAAAUAGUUUAAAAGAUAAAUACAACUUAAGAAAAGAACAGAUUCCCAGGAGGAAACUGUGAGGAGGUGGGAUAUCCAGAACAAGCAAUGCCUUUUGACUGUGUGCUGUCACCAAGGACUUCAUUGGUUUGGUCCCGACCAGCAUGUUCUACCUAGACUGCAAGCCAGCCUUGCCUCUGCCCAAGUUUAGCAAAAGCUUUCUCAGAACAGAGAGCAGUGAAGGGUUGGGGACUGAGACCAGGAUGCUGCACUGGCAGGGGUCUGAGAAGAGCUAUUCUGGAGAAAGCUGAGAAGCCGCAUUCAGGGAUGUAUACGACAUUGGGUAAGAAUGCCCUUGAGAACCAGAAACAGCUGAAAAUCCACGUGACCGAAGUGGAGGAAGAAGUGAACACCUUGCUGAAAAUCAACAGACCUUUUCGACAUUUCCAGUUUAUCAUCACGAAGUUACCCGAGUGACUCACACAACCACCAGCCCUCCCUGAACCUGUUGACAUCAUCCAUGAGCUCUAGCAGCAGAACGUGGUUCAUGCCGCACACACCAGAACAUUCUCUCUGUCUGCCCUCCAGAUACAGACCCUCCUUGGACAAUACUGAACAAGCCUUCGUGUGACAGCCCGGGCUCUGGGGCUGGUCAGCGGGCUCGGUGGUCAACAGCCAUUGAAGCUGCACUUGUGGUGAGAGUUGUGAGACACAGGCUUUGUCUCCUCAGACGGCUGACUGACUCUUCACAAUCGUCGUUGCGGGAUCUGAGAGAGAACCUCAACGCUCCAAGGAGGGGAAAACCCCUGUCACCACAAGGUCUCCAGGGGCCACGUGUAAAGUAACUAGCUCAGUUACCCACCGACUGAGAGUUGCCUACGGACAAAGGAGGAUGUGGCUCCUUUGAGUGCUCCAAGACUGAUCCUGAGAACCUUGCUCAUUUUCUUCUUUCUCAUCACUCCCAGGAUUUCAUACCAGAUCUGGUACAGGGGGAAAUAACAAGACAAAGUCAUCUUGGACUAUCAUUGAAUAAACCAAGAAAUCAACUGAGACUCUUGUCUAAGAUCAGAUAAAAAUGUUAAAAAAGCAAAUGCUUUACGCAUUUAUUUGAACCUCUUUUCCAUGAAAAUGGAAUAAGAAUGAACUGGAAAAUAUAUGUACGCUUAUCCAAGACAAUUCCAAAGGAUUCAUAAAGAAAAAUGCAAUACACCCCCAGAAAGAAUACCCAAGUGAUUGUCUCCUUCUCCCCCAAUGCUUUCAGGACUCACAAAGUGAUUUCUAAAUCUCCUUCUUUGCCAUUCUCACUGCUAAAGAUGAUGCAUAAUAAAUUCAGCUUCAGCCUCUUACCUUGAAUCUGUGUAUGUCAACCUGAAUCUUAUGUGUUUCUUGUAAACAACUUAUGGAAGGAUUCUGCUUUUUAAUCCUCUCUGCUUCCAUU
Long non-coding RNA from Monodelphis domestica (gray short-tailed opossum), 1569 nucleotides. RefSeq lists it as uncharacterized. The record is from RefSeq and is a predicted model, not a curated record. NCBI's taxonomy places the organism in Eukaryota, Metazoa, Chordata, Mammalia, Didelphimorphia, Didelphidae.